ACGGGUGCGUAACACGUGAGCAAUCUGCCGGGAAGUGGGGGAUAGCUCGCCGAAAGGCGAAUUAAUACCGCAUGUGGCCAGGAAGGACAUCCUUCUGAAGCCAAAGUCGCAAGACGCUUCCUGAUGAGCUCGCGGCCUAUCAGCUUGUUGGUGAGGUAACGGCUCACCAAGGCUAUGAUGGGUAGCUGGUCUGAGAGGACGACCAGUCACACUGGAACUGAGACACGGUCCAGACACCUACGGGUGGCAGCAGUCGAGAAUUUUUCACAAUGGGGGAAACCCUGAUGGAGCGACGCCGCGUGGAGGACGAAGGUCUUCGGAUUGUAAACUCCUGUCAUGCGGGAACAAGAAAGUGAUAGUACCGCAAGAGGAAGAGACGGCUAACUCUGUGCCAGCAGCCGCGGUAAUACAGAGGUCUCAAGCGUUGUUCGGAUUCAUUGGGCGUAAAGGGUGCGCAGGCGGCGUGGAAAGUUGAGUGUGAAAUCCCGGGGCUUAACCCCGGAACUGCACUCAAUACUCCCAUGCUAGAGGAAUGUAGAGGAGAGUGGAAUUCACGGUGUAGCAGUGAAAUGCGUAGA
RNAcentral lists this ribosomal RNA (578 nucleotides) under uncultured bacterium. RNAcentral's name for it is "bacterial SSU rRNA". It matches the Rfam family "Bacterial small subunit ribosomal RNA", at positions 102 to 694 of the family's 1533-position model. The record is from RNAcentral.